Molecule: ribosomal RNA, 634 nt
Filed under: Lentilactobacillus buchneri
Lineage: Bacteria; Bacillati; Bacillota; Bacilli; Lactobacillales; Lactobacillaceae
Description: bacterial SSU rRNA
Rfam family: Bacterial small subunit ribosomal RNA
Source: RNAcentral
UAACACGUGGGUAACCUGCCCUUGAAGUAGGGGAUAACACUUGGAAACAGGUGCUAAUACCGUAUAACAACCAAAACCACCUGGUUUUGGUUUAAAAGACGGCUUCGGCUGUCACUUUAGGAUGGACCCGCGGCGUAUUAGCUUGUUGGUAAGGUAACGGCCUACCAAGGCGAUGAUACGUAGCCGACCUGAGAGGGUAAUCGGCCACAUUGGGACUGAGACACGGCCCAAACUCCUACGGGAGGCAGCAGUAGGGAAUCUUCCACAAUGGACGAAAGUCUGAUGGAGCAACGCCGCGUGAGUGAUGAAGGGUUUCGGCUCGUAAAACUCUGUUGUUGGAGAAGAACAGGUGUCAGAGUAACUGUUGACAUCUUGACGGUAUCCAACCAGAAAGCCACGGCUAACUACGUGCCAGCAGCCGCGGUAAUACGUAGGUGGCAAGCGUUGUCCGGAUUUAUUGGGCGUAAAGCGAGCGCAGGCGGUUUUUUAGGUCUGAUGUGAAAGCCUUCGGCUUAACCGGAGAAGUGCAUCGGAAACCGGGAGACUUGAGUGCAGAAGAGGACAGUGGAACUCCAUGUGUAGCGGUGAAAUGCGUAGAUAUAUGGAAGAACACCAGUGGCGAAGGCGGCUGUCU